RNAcentral lists this ribosomal RNA (446 nucleotides) under uncultured bacterium. Its description in RNAcentral is "partial 16S ribosomal RNA". It matches the Rfam family "Bacterial small subunit ribosomal RNA", at positions 29 to 523 of the family's 1533-position model. The record is from RNAcentral.
AACGAACGCUGGCGGCAGGCUUAACACAUGCAAGUCGAGCGCCCCGCAAGGGGAGCGGCAGACGGGUGAGUAACGCGUGGGAACAUACCCUUUCCUGCGGAAUAGCUCCGGGAAACUGGAAUUAAUACCGCAUACGCCCUACGGGGGAAAGAUUUAUCGGGGAAGGAUUGGCCCGCGUUGGAUUAGCUAGUUGGUGGGGUAAAGGCCUACCAAGCGACGAUCCAUAGCUGGUCUGAGAGGAUGAUCAGCCACAUUGGGACUGAGACACGGCCCAAACUCCUACGGGAGGCAGCAGUGGGGAAUAUUGGACAAUGGGCGCAAGCCUGAUCCAGCCAUGCCGCGUGAGUGAUGAAGGCCUUAGGGUUGUAAAGCUCCUUCACCGGAGAAGAUAAUGACGGUAUCCGGAGAAGAGGCCCCGGCUAACUUCGUGCCAGCCGCCGCGGUAA